ACAGUGGACGCGAGCAUCUGUGGCCAAGUUUUUAAGGGCGCACGGUGGAUGCCUUGGCACCAGGAACCGAUGAAGGACGUGAGAGGCCGCGAUAGGCCCCGGGGAGCUGCCAACUGAGCUUUGAUCCGGGGGUGUCCGAAUGGGGAAACCCGGCAGUCGUCAUGGGCUGUCACCCACUGCUGAACACAUAGGCAGUGUGGAGGGAACGAGGGGAAGUGAAACAUCUCAGUACCCUCAGGAAGAGAAAACAACCGUGAUUCCGGGAGUAGUGGCGAGCGAAACCGGAUGAGGCCAAACCGUAUGCGUGUGAGACCCGGCAGGGGUUGCGCAUGCGGGGUUGUGGGAAUGAGCUUCAGUCGUCUGCCGGCGGCUGGGCGAGUCAGAAACCGUUGAUGUAGUCGAAGGACAUGCGAAAGGUCCGGCGUAGAGGGUAAGACCCCCGUAGACGAAACAUCAGCGGCUUGCUUGCUCAUCUCCCAAGUAGCACGGGGCCCGAGAAAUCCCGUGUGAAUCUGGCGGGACCACCCGCUAAGCCUAAAUAUUCCCUGGUGACCGAUAGCGGAUAGUACCGUGAGGGAAUGGUGAAAAGUACCGCGGGAGCGGAGUGAAAUAGUACCUGAAACCGUGUGCCUACAAGCCGUGGGAGCGUCGG
RNAcentral lists this ribosomal RNA (652 nucleotides) under Streptomyces sp. WAC07149. Its description in RNAcentral is "partial 23S ribosomal RNA". It matches the Rfam family "Bacterial large subunit ribosomal RNA", at positions 1 to 585 of the family's 2925-position model. Lineage: Bacteria; Bacillati; Actinomycetota; Actinomycetes; Kitasatosporales; Streptomycetaceae. The record is from RNAcentral.